RNAcentral lists this ribosomal RNA (460 nucleotides) under uncultured bacterium. RNAcentral's name for it is "bacterial SSU rRNA". It matches the Rfam family "Bacterial small subunit ribosomal RNA", at positions 343 to 794 of the family's 1533-position model. The record is from RNAcentral.
UGGAGGCAGCAGUGGGGAAUUUUUCGCAAUGGGGGAAACCCUGACGAAGCAACGCCGCGUGGAGGAUGAAGGCCUUCGGGUCGUAAACUCCUGUCGACCGGGACGAAAGCCAUCCGACCCAAUACGUCGGGUAGUCGACUGUACCGGUGGAGGAAGCCACGGCUAACUCUGUGCCAGCAGCCGCGGUAAUACAGAGGUGGCAAGCGUUGUUCGGAAUUACUGGGCGUAAAGGGCGCGUAGGCGGCCUCAUAAGUCCUGUGUGAAAUCCCCCGGCUCAACCGGGGAACUGCACAGGAAACUGCGAGGCUUGAGUUCGGGAGAGGGAAGCGGAAUUCCGGGUGUAGCGGUGAAAUGCGUAGAUAUCCGGAGGAACACCGGUGGCGAAGGCGGCUUCCUGGACCGACACUGACGCUGAGGCGCGAAAGCCAGGGGAGCAAACGGGAUUAGAUACCCCGGUAGU